GACGGAGGGCGCAAGCGUUGUUCGGAAUUACUGGGCGUAAAGCGCACGCAGGCGGCCUGCUAAGUCCUUUGUGAAAGCCCGGGGCUCAACCCCGGAAUUGCAUCGGAUACUGGCAGGCUAGAGACUGGUAGAGGCUAGCGGAAUUCCUGGUGUAGCGGUGGAAUGCGUAGAUAUCAGGAAGAACACCUGUGGCGAAGGCGGCUAGCUGGGCCAGUUCUGACGCUCAUGUGCGAAAGCGUGGGGAGCAAACAGGAUUAGAUACCCUGGUAGUCCACGCCGUAAACGAUGGGCACUAGAUGCCGGGCAUAUAGACGUGUUCGGUGUCGCAGCUAACGCACUAAGUGCCCCGCCUGGGGAGUACGGUCGCAAGGCUGAA
Molecule: ribosomal RNA, 376 nt
Filed under: uncultured bacterium
Lineage: Bacteria
Description: bacterial SSU rRNA
Rfam family: Bacterial small subunit ribosomal RNA
Source: RNAcentral